UACGUAGGGGGCAAGCGUUGUCCGGAUUUAUUGGGCGUAAAGAGCGUGUAGGCGGCCAGACAGGUCUGUUGUGAAAACUGGAGGCUCAACCUCCAGACGUCGAUGGAAACCGUCUGGCUAGAGUCCGGAAGAGGAGAGUGGAAUUCCUGGUGUAGCGGUGAAAUGCGCAGAUAUCAGGAAGAACACCCGUGGCGAAAGCGGCUCUCUGGGACGGUACUGACGCUGAGACGCGAAAGCGUGGGGAGCGAACAGG
Molecule: ribosomal RNA, 253 nt
Filed under: uncultured bacterium
Lineage: Bacteria
Description: partial 16S ribosomal RNA
Rfam family: Bacterial small subunit ribosomal RNA
Source: RNAcentral